GAUGAACGCUGGCGGCGUGCCUAAUACAUGCAAGUCGAGCGAACGGACGAGAAGCUUGCUUCUCUGAUGUUAGCGGCGGACGGGUGAGUAACACGUGGAUAACCUACCUAUAAGACUGGGAUAACUUCGGGAAACCGGAGCUAAUACCGGAUAAUAUUUUGAACCGCAUGGUUCAAAAGUGAAAGACGGUCUUGCUGUCACUUAUAGAUGGAUCCGCGCUGCAUUAGCUAGUUGGUAAGGUAACGGCUUACCAAGGCAACGAUGCAUAGCCGACCUGAGAGGGUGAUCGGCCACACUGGAACUGAGACACGGUCCAGACUCCUACGGGAGGCAGCAGUAGGGAAUCUUCCGCAAUGGGCGAAAGCCUGACGGAGCAACGCCGCGUGAGUGAUGAAGGUCUUCGGAUCGUAAAACUCUGUUAUUAGGGAAGAACAUAUGUGUAAGUAACUGUGCACAUCUUGACGGUACCUAAUCAGAAAGCCACGGCUAACUACGUGCCAGCAGCCGCGGUAAUACGUAGGUGGCAAGCGUUAUCCGGAAUUAUUGGGCGUAAAGCGCGCGUAGGGCGGUUUUUUAGUCUGAUGUGAAAGCCCACGGCUCAACCGUGGAGGGUCAUUGGAAACUGGAAAACUUGAGUGCAGAAGAGGAAAGUGGAAUUCCAUGUGUAGCGGUGAAAUGCGCAGAGAUAUGGAGGAACACCAGUGGCGAAGGCGACUUUCUGGUCUGUAACUGACGCUGAUGUGCGAAAGCGUGGGGAUCAAACAGGAUUAGAUACCCUGGUAGUCCACGCCGUAAACGAUGAGUGCUAAGUGUUAGGGGGUUUCCGCCCCUUAGUGCUGCAGCUAACGCAUUAAGCACUCCGCCUGGGGAGUACGACCACAAGGUUGAAACUCAAAGGAAUUGACGGGGACCCGCACAAGCGGUGGAGCAUGUGGUUUAAUUCGAAGCAACGCGAAGAACCUUACCAAAUCUUGACAUCCUUUGACAACUCUAGAGAUAGAGCUUUCCCCUUCGGGGGACAAAGUGACAGGUGGUGCAUGGUUGUCGUCAGCUCGUGUCGUGAGAUGUUGGGUUAAGUCCCGCAACGAGCGCAACCCUUAAGCUUAGUUGCCAUCAUUAAGUUGGGCACUCUAAGUUGACUGCCGGUGACAAACCGGAGGAAGGUGGGGAUGACGUCAAAUCAUCAUGCCCCUUAUGAUUUGGGCUACACACGUGCUACAAUGGACAAUACAAAGGGCAGCGAAACCGCGAGGUCAAGCAAAUCCCAUAAAGUUGUUCUCAGUUCGGAUUGUAGUCUGCAACUCGACUACAUGAAGCUGGAAUCGCUAGUAAUCGUAGAUCAGCAUGCUACGGUGAAUACGUUCCCGGGUCU
This 1372-nucleotide ribosomal RNA is filed under the name uncultured bacterium. Its description in RNAcentral is "bacterial SSU rRNA". It matches the Rfam family "Bacterial small subunit ribosomal RNA", at positions 28 to 1381 of the family's 1533-position model. The record is from RNAcentral.